UAUUAGGUUGGUGCAAAAGUAAUUGCGGUUUGCUUUAAAAGUAACGACAAAACCUGCAAUUACUUUUGCACUAACCUAAUAUU
This 83-nucleotide microRNA precursor is filed under the name Chlorocebus sabaeus (green monkey). RNAcentral's name for it is "miRNA (ENSCSAG00000027870.1)". Lineage: Eukaryota; Metazoa; Chordata; Mammalia; Primates; Cercopithecidae. The record is from RNAcentral.